Molecule: ribosomal RNA, 102 nt
Filed under: Caerostris darwini
Lineage: Eukaryota; Metazoa; Arthropoda; Arachnida; Araneae; Araneidae
Source: RNAcentral
AACGGCCAUACCAUGUUGAAUAUACCGGUUCUCGUUAGAUCACCGAAGUCAAGCAUCAUUGGGCGUGGUCAGUACUUGGGUGGGUGACCACCUGGGAACACC